AUGCACGCUGGCGGCGUGCCUAAUACAUGCAAGUCGAGCGAACGGACGAGAAGCUUGCUUCUCUGAUGUUAGCGGCGGACGGGUGAGUAACACGUGGAUAACCUACCUAUAAGACUGGGAUAACUUCGGGAAACCGGAGCUAAUACCGGAUAAUAUUUUGAACCGCAUGGUUCAAAAGUGAAAGACGGUCUUGCUGUCACUUAUAGAUGGAUCCGCGCUGCAUUAGCUAGUUGGUAAGGUAACGGCUUACCAAGGCAACGAUGCAUAGCCGACCUGAGAGGGUGAUCGGCCACACUGGAACUGAGACACGGUCCAGACUCCUACGGGAGGCAGCAGUAGGGAAUCUUCCGCAAAGGGCGAAAGCCUGACGGAGCAACGCCGCGUGAGUGAUGAAGGUCUUCGGAUCGUAAAACUCUGUUAUUAGGGAAGAACAUAUGUGUAAGUAACUGUGCACAUCUUGACGGUACCUAAUCAGAAAGCCACGGCUAACUACGUG
Molecule: ribosomal RNA, 496 nt
Filed under: uncultured bacterium
Lineage: Bacteria
Description: partial 16S ribosomal RNA
Rfam family: Bacterial small subunit ribosomal RNA
Source: RNAcentral